Molecule: long non-coding RNA, 564 nt
Filed under: Homo sapiens (human)
Lineage: Eukaryota; Metazoa; Chordata; Mammalia; Primates; Hominidae
Description: non-protein coding lnc-SMCO3-1:1
Source: RNAcentral
GGAGGGGCGCGAGGUUUCAAGAUGGCGGUAGCUGAGGGGUUGACCGAGAGACCCAGUUGAAGGCCUUUACGAAGUGAAAGAGGCCGGGAGUCGCCCCCUACCCGCUUCUCGUAGUCCUGGGAGCACAGCAGAAGUGUUUUUCUUUUUUUAAUGAACAAGUAAACCAUACAAAUUGUCAACAUGGGACGGAGAUCUACAUCAUCCACCAAGAGUGGAAAAUUUAUGAACCCCACAGACCAAGCCCGAAAGGAAGCCCGGAAGAGAGAAUUAAAGAAGAACAAAAAACAGCGCAUGAUGGUUCGAGCUGCAGUUUUAAAGAUGAAGGAUCCAAAACAGAUAAUCCGAGACAUGGAGAAAUUGGAUGAAAUGGGUAAGAAUUUACAAACAGGCAGCUAUAACAGUCUGACACGUACAGAGGCAGGCAGGUAACGAGUGAAGCAGCAUAGGCGUAAGUAAAACAGAACAGCAUGAUGGCAUUUGAUGCUUGGAUUUAAUGUUAGUUUCAGGGAGACAAAAUGGAGUGCUAGAGGGCUGUUGCAAACUGGAGACCCCAGAUACCAGAAU